RNAcentral lists this ribosomal RNA (862 nucleotides) under Veronaea botryosa. Its description in RNAcentral is "eukaryotic LSU rRNA". It matches the Rfam family "Eukaryotic large subunit ribosomal RNA", at positions 66 to 942 of the family's 3401-position model. The record is from RNAcentral. Lineage: Eukaryota; Fungi; Ascomycota; Eurotiomycetes; Chaetothyriales; Herpotrichiellaceae.
CAACAGGGAUUGCCUCAGUAACGGCGAGUGAAGCGGCAACAGCUCAAAUUUGAAAUCUGGCCUCUUUGGGGUCCGAGUUGUAAUUUGUAGAGGAUGUUUCGGGUACCGCCUCGGUUUAAAUUUCUUGGAACAGAAUGUCAAAGAGGGUGAGAAUCCCGUCUUGGACCGGCGGUAGGGCCCAUGUGAAACUCCUUCGACGAGUCGAGUUGUUUGGGAAUGCAGCUCAAAAUGGGUGGUAAAUUUCAUCUAAAGCUAAAUAUUGGCCAGAGACCGAUAGCGCACAAGUAGAGUGAUCGAAAGAUGAAAAGCACUUUGAAAAGAGAGUUAAACAGUAUGUGAAAUUGUUGAAAGGGAAGCGCUUACAACCAGACUUGAGCGCGGCGGUUCCCCCUUCCUUUUGGUUGGGUUACUCCGUCGUGUCCAGGCCAACAUCGGUUUCGGGGGUCGGUUAAAGACCUUGGGAAUGUAUCUACCCUUCGGGCGUAGACUUAUAGCCCAGGGUGUCAUGCGGCCUCCCGGGACCGAGGAACGCGCUUCGGCUCGGAUGUUGGCGUAAUGGUUGUCAGCGACCCGUCUUGAAACACGGACCAAGGAGUCUAACAUCUAUGCGAGUGUUUGGGUGUCAAACCCGGAACGCGAAAUGAAAGUGAACGGAGGUAGGAAGCCUUGAGGCUGCACUAUCGACCGAUCCUGAUGUCUUCGGAUGGAUUUGAGUAAGAGCAUAGCUGUUGGGACCCGAAAGAUGGUGAACUAUGCCUGAAUAGGGUGAAGCCAGAGGAAACUCUGGUGGAGGCUCGCAGCGGUUCUGACGUGCAAAUCGAUCGUCAAAUUUGGGUAUAGGGGCGAAAGACUAAUCGAACCA